RNAcentral lists this ribosomal RNA (344 nucleotides) under uncultured bacterium. RNAcentral describes it as "partial 16S ribosomal RNA". It matches the Rfam family "Bacterial small subunit ribosomal RNA", at positions 338 to 699 of the family's 1533-position model. The record is from RNAcentral.
CCUACGGGAGGCAGCAGUGGGGAAUAUUGCACAAUGGGGGAAACCCUGAUGCAGCGACGCCGCGUGAGUGAAGAAGUAAUUCGUUAUGUAAAGCUCUAUCAGCAGGGAAGAAAAUGACGGUACCUGAGUAAGAAUCCCCGGCUAACUACGUGCCAGCAGCCGCGGUAAUACGCAGGGGGCAAGCGUUAUCCGGAUUUACUGGGUGUAAAGGGAGCGUAGACGGCAGUGCAGGUCUGGAGUGAAAGGCGGGGGCUCAACCCCCGGACUGCGCUUGAAACUGUACGGCUGGAGUGCAGGAGAGGUAGGUGGAAUUCCUGGUGUAGCGGUGAAAUGCGUAGAUAUUA